RNAcentral lists this ribosomal RNA (198 nucleotides) under uncultured gamma proteobacterium CHAB-V-8. RNAcentral's name for it is "partial 16S ribosomal RNA". It matches the Rfam family "Bacterial small subunit ribosomal RNA", at positions 1321 to 1518 of the family's 1533-position model. The record is from RNAcentral. RNAcentral also lists the same sequence under 1 other name. Lineage: Bacteria; Pseudomonadati; Pseudomonadota; Gammaproteobacteria.
UGAAGUCGGAAUCGCUAGUAAUCGCAGGUCAGAAUACUGCGGUGAAUACGUUCCCGGGCCUUGUACACACCGCCCGUCACACCAUGGGAGUGGGAUGCAAAAGAAGUAGUUAGUCUAACCUUCGGGAGGACGAUUACCACUUUGUGUUUCAUGACUGGGGUGAAGUCGUAACAAGGUAACCCUAGGGGAACCUGGGGU